UACGAAUGGUGCAAGCGUUACUCGGAAUCACUGGGCGUAAAGCGCACGUAGGCGGACUUACAGGUCAAUUGUGAAAUACCUGGGCUCAACCCGGGAACUGCAGUUGAAACCGUUUGUCUUGAAUACCUGAGAGGGUGGGGGAAUACCUGGUGGAGAAGUGAAAUUCGUAGAGAUCAGGUGGAACACCGGAGGCGAGGGCGCCUGCCUGGCAGUGUAUUGACGCUGAGGUGCGAAAGUGCGGGGAGCAAACGGG
RNAcentral lists this ribosomal RNA (253 nucleotides) under uncultured bacterium. RNAcentral describes it as "partial 16S ribosomal RNA". It matches the Rfam family "Bacterial small subunit ribosomal RNA", at positions 524 to 776 of the family's 1533-position model. The record is from RNAcentral.